UGGGGAAUCUUAGACAAUGGGGGAAACCCUGAUCUAGCCAUGCCGCGUGAGUGAUGAAGGCCUUAGGGUUGUAAAGCUCUUUCAGCUGGGAAGAUAAUGACGGUACCAGCAGAAGAAGCCCCGGCUAACUCCGUGCCGGCAGCCGCGGUAAUACGGAGGGGGCUAGCGUUGUUCGGAAUUACUGGGCGUAAAGCGCACGUAGGCGGACCGGAAAGUUGGAGGUGAAAUCCCGGGGCUCAACCUUGGAACUGCCUUCAAAACUAUCGGUCUGGAGUUCGAGAGAGGUGAGUGGAAUUCCGAGUGUAGAGGUGAAAUUCGUAGAUAUUCGGAGGAACACCAGUGGCGAAGGCGGCUCACUGGCUCGAUACUGACGCUGAGGUGCGAAAGCGUGGGGAGCAAACA
Molecule: ribosomal RNA, 402 nt
Filed under: uncultured prokaryote
Description: bacterial SSU rRNA
Rfam family: Bacterial small subunit ribosomal RNA
Source: RNAcentral